RNAcentral lists this ribosomal RNA (552 nucleotides) under Flexibacter sp. enrichment culture clone B19. RNAcentral's name for it is "bacterial SSU rRNA". It matches the Rfam family "Bacterial small subunit ribosomal RNA", at positions 350 to 905 of the family's 1533-position model. Lineage: Bacteria; Pseudomonadati; Bacteroidota; Cytophagia; Cytophagales; Flexibacteraceae. The record is from RNAcentral.
AGCAGUAAGGAAUAUUGGUCAAUGGACGCAAGUCUGAACCAGCCAUGCCGCGUGAAGGAUGAAGGUCUCUGGAUUGUAAACUUCUUUUAUAGGGGGCGAAAAAGGUUUUUCUAAAUCACUUGACAGUACCCUAUGAAUAAGCACCGGCUAACUCCGUGCCAGCAGCCGCGGUAAUACGGAGGGUGCAAGCGUUAUCCGGAUUCACUGGGUUUAAAGGGUGCGUAGGCGGGUAGGUAAGUCAGAGGUGAAAUCCUGGAGCUUAACUCCAGAACUGCCUUUGAUACUAUCUAUCUUGAAUAUGGUGGAGGUAAGCGGAAUAUGUCAUGUAGCGGUGAAAUGCAUAGAUAUGACAUAGAACACCUAUUGCGAAGGCAGCUUACUACGCCUAUAUUGACGCUGAGGCACGAAAGCGUGGGGAUCAAACAGGAUUAGAUACCCUGGUAGUCCACGCCCUAAACGAUGAUUACUCGACGUAUGCGAUACAAGUAUGCGUCUGAGCGAAAGCAUUAAGUAAUCCACCUGGGAAGUACGACCGCAAGGUUGAAACUCAAG